CACGUAGGCGGAUUGGAAAGUUGGGGGUGAAAACCCGGGGCUCAACCCCGGAACUGCCUUCAAAACUCCCAGUCUUGAGUUCGAGAGAGGUGAGUGGAAUUCCGAGUGUAGAGGUGAAAUUCGUAGAUACUCGGAGGAACACCAGUGGCGAAGGCGGCUCACUGGCUCGAUACUGACGCUGAGGUGCGAAAGCGUGGGGAGCAAACA
RNAcentral lists this ribosomal RNA (207 nucleotides) under uncultured bacterium. Its description in RNAcentral is "partial 16S ribosomal RNA". It matches the Rfam family "Bacterial small subunit ribosomal RNA", at positions 568 to 774 of the family's 1533-position model. The record is from RNAcentral.